Non-coding RNA from Podarcis lilfordi (Lilford's wall lizard), 1192 nucleotides. The record is from the annotation of a GenBank genome assembly. NCBI's taxonomy places the organism in Eukaryota, Metazoa, Chordata, Lepidosauria, Squamata, Lacertidae.
GCUGCGCUUAAAAACCUCCCCACCUCCGAGGAAAGGUGCCCUAAUUGGACUAUAUACCUGUGAGUUAAGAGCACUGCGGGUGCAGCCACUUCAGAAUUGACUUGUCAAUGACUUGUUGUCGUAUCAGCCUUGCUGAUUUGUGCAGGAGAGGGCGAAAGAGAAACACGGAUCCGAUCACCGAAUGACCGGAAGAAUCAGAAAUCAGGAAGACCAAAAUUUUAAUAAGGAAUGGGGAAAAUUUAUAAUUUGUCUUAAAAACCAUUUUAAACAGUUAAAACCGUUAGUAGGACUGGGAUAACACUUGUAGUUUAAUGGUGAAUUUUGGACAUAAUGGAGAUGUAAAAUAUUUGGAUUAUCAUAAAAGAUGCAGGAGGAAAUGAUUAACCAUAGGACCCACAAAGAGGAGGAAGUAAGUCCAGGAGAUUCUUUGGAAUCUUGUUUUUAUGUUGUGUAUUGGAUAUGUGAUUGUAAAACUUUGAUCUGAAAACCAAAUAAACAUUUUUUUUAAAAAAAAGCACCAAAUGAAACAAACAAAACAAAAAUAACCCAAAGUAUCUGUUUUGUCCCAAAUAACCUCUCCAAAGAGAAACUUGAGUGAUUGCUGGGGGAAUAUGUUGGUACAGAUCUGGUCACGUAUGAAAAGAAGGGGAACUAGACAUAGAAUUGUAGAGUUGGAAGGGACCCUGAGGGUCGUCUGGUCCAACCCACUGCAAUACAGGAAUCUCAACAUACAAUUCCAUGUGGCAUCACAUCAGGUUUUCAGACAAAGCCACUUCUCAAACUCUUGCCCGUCCAUCUUUUCACCCAAAGGUUGCCUGGUGUUUUCCACUGAAAGGCUACUUCCAUACAAGCUGCUGCUAAUAACACCACAACUAACUUAUUAUGUGCUCCUAAUGUUUCCAAAGCUGAAGCAGGAGCUAAAACAAAAAUUGUGAAUUGGAGCACAAUCCCAUCACAUGUGCAAGAGAGCCAACAGUGCCACCAUCUCUCCAAUAUGGGGUGAAAUUGAGUUGUUAACAAAGUGGAGCUUUGAAAGAGCAAUUUAAGUUUUAUAUAUGCCUUUUAUAUUCAAGUUGUUAUUUUUAAGCCAGCCUUGGACUGUGUAGCCAUGUUCACGUUUCUCCAAAGCCAGCCCAUCUUCCCAAGCCCUCUGUAGACUGUUUGUGUCACCCAUGACGGCAGUGAUCAAUAU